UACGAAGGGUGCUAGCGUUGUUCGGAAUCACUGGGCGUAAAGCGCGCGUAGGCGGCUAUUCAAGUCAGGGGUGAAAUCCUGAGGCUCAACCUCAGAAUUGCCUUUGAAACUGUAUAGCUAGAGUGUCGGAGGGGAUAGCGGAAUUGCUAAUGUAGAGGUGAAAUUCGUAGAUAUUAGCAGGAACACCGGUGGCGAAGGCGGCUAUCUGGACGACAACUGACGCUUAGGCGCGAAAGCGUGGGGAUCAAACAGG
RNAcentral lists this ribosomal RNA (253 nucleotides) under uncultured bacterium. Its description in RNAcentral is "partial 16S ribosomal RNA". It matches the Rfam family "Bacterial small subunit ribosomal RNA", at positions 524 to 776 of the family's 1533-position model. The record is from RNAcentral.